GUACAACUAAGUGCUUUUCCCUUUUAAAAUUUUUUUCAAGUUUACAUGAACUUUGGGAUACAAAUCCAGGAGUGGUAUGGCUGAAUCAAAAGGCAUCCCAAUUUUUAUAGCCCUUUGAACCUAGUUCUAAAUUGUUCUCCAGAAUGGUGGCAUUUCUCAAUUGUGAUUUAGAGCAUUUUUUCAUAAGACUAUAGGUAUUUUGAUUUCUUCAUUUGAAAACUACUUGUCCAUAUCCCUUGACCAUUUAUUCAUUUCUAAGAUGCCUCUCUUCUUCCAGUAUCCCAGGGACAUAAGUUCUAUGUUAUCCUUUACUCCUGUCUGUCACCCUGAAUACUGAAUCAGUGACUAAACUUGCUAACUUUCUAACUAGACAGCAUCUCUUCUAUUUGACCCAUUUCAUCAUCUUUGCAAUUACACAAUUGGCUGAAAGGUACUGACUCGUUGCUGUUCUUGAUUCUUGAAUAGGACCAAAAUGCUGUUACUAUGUUAGAGUCAAAUUACAGUGUGUCCAGCUGUGACUGAUCAGACCAGUAUGGGCUCAGAAUGCUCUGCUACAGGUCAGACAAAGUACACUAUGUUUAUUUGGGUUUCUAAAUUUUUAAAUAGUAUUUUAUUUUUCCAAAUACAUGCAAAGAUAGUUUUAAACAUUCACUGUGGCAAAAUCUUGUGUUACAAAUUUUUCUCCUUCCCUACCCCCUCUCCAAGACAGUAAGUAAUCUGAUAUAGGUUAAACAUGUGCAAUUCUCCUAAACAUAUUUCCAUAUUUAUCAUGCUGCACAAGAAAAAUCAGAUCAAAAGGGGGAAAAACCAUGAGAAAGAAUAAAUGAGCAAAUAAACCACAACAAAAGGUGAAAAUACUAUGCUGUGAUCCACGUUCAGUCCUCAUAGUUCUCUCUCUGGAUGCAAAUGGCUCUCUCCAUCACAUCUAUUGGAAUUGCCUUGAAUCACCACAUUGUCAAGAAGAACGAAGUCCAUCACAGUUGAUCACAACAUAAUCUUGUUUCUGUCUACAAUGUUCUCCUGAUUCUACUCCCUUCACUCAGCAUCAGUUCAUGUAAGUCUUUCCAGGACUCUCUGAAAUCAUCCUGCUAGUCAUUUCUUACAGAACAAUAAUAUUCCAUUACAUUCAUAUACCAUAACUUAUUCAGCCGUUCUCCAACUGAUGAGCAAUUUCUCUGGCUUAUGUCUAUUUGUUGCUUAGGGGAAAAGUCUUUCAUCCAGCGGAACAAAGAAUGGCUUUAUAAGCUCUUCUCUUGUUGAUUUCUUGAUAUUUCAGAUUCUUUCAAUCUACUGACUUCUUCCUUACUGCCUUUAACCAUGCUUAAACUUUACCUAUCCUUGAAAAACCUUUAUUAGAAGACUCCAUUGUCCUCUGAAGUUUCCAUUCUAUAGUUCUCCUUUUCUAAGUCUAAACCCUUGAAGAUGCUGUCUAUACUCCUUUUGUAAUGUUCUGGUUAGCUUUCUUUAGGUCUCUGGACCAGCCUUCGUUUCAGCAGAGUAAUAAUCAUGAGAACAGCCCAAAGUUAAAGUCCAAAUUCUUUAUUAUCUCCUUCACAGUCUAGUUUCCUUGCCUGGGGACCGGGCCAGCUUUCUGGAGGUCCUCCAGAAUGUGUCUUGGUUUAUGUGGGGAGGCAGGAGGGCCACCGUGAUGGUCUCUGUCUUGAAGUCUCUCUCAGUCUGAGAGCUUGUGCUCCAGCACAAUCCUCUCCAAGUCCUCUCUAGGUCUGACUCUGGCCUCUUAAAUACGCUAGUACAAUUAUAUCCAUUCAUCAUACUGCGUACAAGCCAAUCAUUAUAUCACUAGGGCACCAUUAUUUGUUGUAAGAUUAAUUCAAUCAUACUGAACCAGAGAACUAUUAAUCGCCAUGCUAAACUAGGUAACCAUUGUAUUAUCAAUUCCACUGAGUUAGCACCUUGUAAGAAUACUUGUUUCAGAGUUCUGGCCCAUUACAUCCUUUGACUUCUUAUUAUAUUAUUUAAAAAUCAUACAAGACCUUGAAAAGGUAACAACAAUAACAUUUUCCCACCUGGGCUGUAUUCAUUCUGAAUUUGACUUUUCCACCAUUUUCCUAGAGUAUCAGACUUGAUAUUCCUAUCUCAUAAAUAUCCUUUGCUACUUGAAGGAUGGAACCAUGAACUCCUCCAUUUGAGGAGGAAGCACAGGACAGGAGAGAAGUUAUUUCUACCUUUCUAAUAUCUUUCUUACAUUCCUUCUCUCCCUAGUGCAGACCCUCCAGUCCUCACUCAAAGAUUAUCAUUGCAACAUGAUUUUGCAACAUUGCAACAUCAUAUUUUAAUGAUAAAAGAGGUACAAAAAAAAAAGAAAUAAAGAGAAACAACUUGAAGGAAAAAAAAAAAAAAAAAAAAGAGGUACAAAAAUCCACCAACCCCUUUUAAAAAACAGAAUUGGCUAAAUGGAAGAAGAGGUAAAAAAUAUUUUAAAAAGCAGAAUUGGCCAAAUGGAAAAGGAGAUACAAAAAUUUAUUGAAGAAAAUAAUCCCUUAAAAAUUAAAAUUGGACAAAUAGAAGCUAAAUUUUCUGUGAGACAUCCAGAAACAAUAAAACAGUCAAUAGAACUAAAAAAUAGAAGAAAACGUGAAAUACUUCGCUGGCAAAACAGCUUACCUGAAAAACAGAUCCAGGAGAGAUAAUUUAAGAAUUACUAAACUACCUGAAAGUUAUAACUUUUUAAAAAAGUGCCUAGACAUCAUAUUUUUUAAAAUUAUCAAGUAAAAGUAUCCUGAUAUCUUAAAAUCAGAAGAUAAAACAGAAAAAGAAAGAAUCCACUGAUUACCUCCUAAAGGAGAUCUCAAAAUAAAAACUCCCAGGAAUAUGAUAAUCAAAUUCCAGAGCUCCUGAAUUAAGAAGAAAAUCUUUCAAACAGCUAGAAAGAAGAUUCCCAAAUACUGUGGAACCUCAGGCAGGAUAACACUAGAUGUAUUUAUUUAUUUAUUUUACUAAAGCUUUUUAUUUACAAAACAUAUGCAUGGUAAUUUUUCAAUACUGACCCUUGCAAAACUUUCUGUUCCAAAUUUUUCCCUCUCCCCCACCUCCUCCCCUAGAGCUGAUAGUCCAAUACAUGUUAAAUAUGUUAAAAUAUAUGGAUAACACUAGAUUUAGAAGCUUCUACUUAAGAAGGCUUGGAAUAUAGUAUUCUGGAGGGCAAAGAAGUUAGGAUUAUAACCAAGAAUCAUCUAUCAGUAAAAGUGAUAUAAUUUUCAGAGGUAAAAAAAAGUAUUCAAGGAAAUCAAGGACUUUCAAUCAUUCCUGAUAAAAAAAUAGCUAAAUAGAAAAUUUGACUUUCAAAUACAAAAUUCAAAAGAAUCAUAAAAAGAGAAAUGUGAAAGAAAUCAUAAGAUACUAAUAAGGUCAAAUUGUUUACAUUCCUACUUGCACCUCCUAAAACCUUUAUUAUUAUUAUGGCAGUUGAAGUAGUAUGGAUAGACAGAAGACAUAGAUGUGAAUUGACCAUGAUGGGAUGAUAUCUAGAAAAAUAAAAUUAAGGGUAAGAAUGAAAGAUGUACCAAAGAAAGGGGAAAGGGAGAGAUAAAAUGGGGUAAACUACUUCACAUAAAAGAAGUAUCAAAGUGAGAGCUUUUACAGUGGAGUUUGGAAAGAUGGGGGAGGAGUUUGGCAAAACGUAAACCUUACUCUCAUCAGAAUUGGCUCAAAGAGGGAAUAACAUACUCAUUCAUUUAGAUAUAGAAAUCUCUUGCCAUACAGGGAAGUAGGAGGGGAAAGGAAAAUAAGAUAUUUGCCCUACAGUGAAGUGGGGAGGGGUGAUAAAAGAGAGGGUGAUUGGGGUAGAAGGAAAACAGACUUUGGAAAAUGGCCAGGGUAAAAAGAGAAAAGAAAACUAAAUGGGUGAAAAUAGGAUGAAGAGAAAUACAUAGUAAUCAUAGCUGUGAAUGGGAAUGGGAUGAACUUACUCAUAAAACAGAAGCAGAUAACAGAGUGGAUUAAAAGCCAGAAUCUGGCAAUAUGUUGCUUGUAAAAAAACAUACUUAAAACAGAGAGAACACACACAGAGUAAAAAUAAAGGGAUGGAGCAAAAUCCAUUAUGCUUUGGUUGAUGUAAAAAAAAAAAAAAAAGAAAUCUAAUUAAAACAGAUAAACAGGGAAACAGCAUUUUGCUAAUAGACAAUGAAGUAAUAUCAAUAUUAAACAUGUAUACACCAAACAGCAUAGCAUCCAAAUUAAUUUUUGAAUGACUAAACAAAAAGGCAUUUAUUAAAUAUUUACUAUAUGGUAAGCAGUUCUCGCCCUUAAAGAAUUCACAUUCUAAUGGGGGAAUUAACACAUAUCUGCAAAUUAGAUGGAAAGGUCAAAUGUCCUUAAGUCAUAGUGGCAAAAAUAGGUGGCAAAUGAUUUUCUUUAAUGUCAUAGACACUAAUAAAUAUUUAUUUCUGAUGUUAAACUAUUAGAGUAAAAAAACUUAAAAAUCUAUUUUCAAUAGCUGUGAUAACUAAGAAAGUAGGAGCUAUGUCCCCUAAAGAGGAAGAUGAUAAGUCACAUUUCCCCAAGGGUAGCUCCCUAAAAGAUGGUCACAGUCACAGACAGGUAGCAGGAAUAGUAGUAUUGAGGACUUUGUUAUUCCUAGGGCUAUUGGGCUUAUCUGUCUAAUGGUAGAAAUUGGUCAGAUUCAUUAAUUGCUGGUAGGGAUGAUGGACAUAUUUUCUGUUAAGGUUACCUCAAUGAAUGAUUUUUGUGGAAAUUAAAAGUUGGAGAGGUGCUCUGAGAUUAGUUACACGGAAAUUCUUAAAGGAAAAGUUAAAUGAGUUACAGAAGAAAUAGUAAAACUCUACUGUCUCUCAGAACUAGAUAAAGCUAAUUAAAAAAUAAACAAGAAAUUAGUUAAGAAAAAAAUAGAUAUGAUAGACUUUUGGAAAAAAAUGAAUGGGAAGGGGCAGCUAGGUGGUGCAAUGGACACUUAACACUUCCUAGCUGUGACCCAAGUGCCUCAGCAAAAAACAAAUAAGUAAAAAAUAAAAUAAAAUUGAAUGGGAAUAGAACUUUACCUUCUUUGUAAUUGUAUAUGGCACCUACACAAAAGUUGACUAUAUAUUGGAGCAUAAAAAUCUCAUAGUCAAAUUCAGAAAAGCAAAAGUAACACACAGAUCCUUUUCAGAUAUAAUAUAAUGAAAAUUACCUCCAAUAAUGAACCGUGGAAACACAGAUUAAACAUUUAUUGGAAACUAAAUAAUCUAAUCUUCAUGAAUGAAUAGAUAAAAGAACAAAUUAAAAAGAAUAAGACAACAUACCAAAAUUUAUUGGAUGCAACCAAAGCAGUACUUGGGAGAAAAUUUAUAUUUCUAGACCCUUACAUUAAUAAAACAGUGAAAGAAUAUUUCAUUGAACUAGUUAUACAACUAAUAAAUUAAAAAUCUCCAAUUAAACAACAAAUUGGAAACCUGAAAAUCAAAGGAGAGAUUAAUAAAACUGAAAGUAAGAAAAUUAUUGAACUAAUAAGCAAAGCAAGAAGCUGUUUUUCAGGGGGAGGGAAUCUCAAUAAAAUAAAACAUUGGUUAAAUUUUAUUUUUUUAAAAAGGAAAACAAAAUUUCCAGUAUCAAAAGUGAAAAGGAUAAAUUCACUACCAUUAAAGCAAUUAUUAGUGUUAUGCCAAAGUCCCCUUUUAAUGGGGGUGACCCAGUUCCUCCAAUUGUCUUAGUUCAUUACUCUGCCUUAGGUUAUAACUGUCUCCUCUUAAUGUUUGAGAUAAAGGUUUUAUAGACAUUCUUUAAUGUUUGACAAGAUAAAGGUUUAUCCAUUUCAGAUGUCAUUAGAAUAUCAGUAAUGUCAUUGUUCUUGUUAUUCCAUAAAAAGCUCGCUGCCCCAAUACUCUGGGCUAGACUCUUUGAGAUGAUAGUCUCGUCUAGCCCUGGGAUCAAUAUGGAUCCAUUGGUCCCAGUAUUUCUCUCCAUUUAAUAAAUUAUUGAAUUGGUCUCUAAUCUCUGUGUUGCUCAGUUUCUUUGGCCUUACAUUAGGAGCUACGCUGUCCAGUUAUAUGCCAAUAAAUCAGACAAUCUAAAUGGAUAAAUGGAUCUAAAUCUAAAUGGAUAAAUAUUUACAAAAAUGUAAACUGUCCAGAUUAACAAGAGAGGAACUAGAAUAUUGUAAUAGCCCAAUUUUAGAAAAGAAGUUGAAAAAGUUGAAAUGAGCUUCCUUAAAAAAGUCCCCAGAACCAAAUGGAUUCAUAAGUGAAUUCUACCAAAUAUUUAAAGAAUAAUUAAUUUCAAUACUAUAUGAAUUAUUUGAAAGAAUAGGCAAAGGAAUCCUUCUAAAUUCCUUUUAUGACACAAAUAUGGGGCUGAAACUAAACCAGGAAGAGCAAAACCAGAAACAAAACUAUAGACCAAUUUCCAUAAUGAAUAUUCAUGCCCAAAUUUUAAAUAGAAUGCCAGCAGGGAAUUACAGCAAUAUAUCACAGAGGUCAUAUUAUAUGACCAGAUGGGAUUUAACAGAGCUGGUUCAAUAAUAGAAAAAACUAUCAGCAUAAUUUUCUAUAUCAAUAACAAAAACAUAAACACCAUAUGAUUAUUUCAUUAGAUGCAGAAAAUAUUUUUGACAAAAUAUAUCACUCAUUCCUUUUUUAAAGAAAAAAUAAUGGAAAACAUAGAAAUAGAUGGAGUUUUCUUUACAAUGAUAUAGAAUAUCUAAAGCCAUCAUCAAGUGUUAUCUGUAACAGGGAAAAGUUAGAAGCAAGAUCUGGAGUGAAGCAAAGAUGUCCAAUUACACCUUUAUUAUUCAGUUUUAUACUGGAAAUGCUAGCUAUAACAAUGAGAAAAAUAAAUGAAAGGAUUUGGAAUAGUGAGGAAGAAACAAAAUUAUCACUCUUUGCAGAUGAUAUGACAUACUUAAGACAAUCCUAGAGAAUUAACUUAAAAACUAGUUGAAAUAAUUAACUUCAGCAAAGAUGCAGGAUGGAAAAUAAAAUCACAGAAGUCAUCAGCAUUUCUAUAUGUUACCAAUAAAGUCAAGCAGCAAGGGAGAGAAACUGCAUCUAAAAUAAUUGUAAUCAAUAUAGGAUACUUGAAAGUCUUCCUACCAGGACAAAUCCAGGAACCAUAUGAACACAAUUAUAAAACACUAUUUACACAGAUAAAGUCAGAUUUAAACAACUGGUGAAAUAGUUAUUAGUCAUUGCUCAUGGGCAGGCUGGAUAAUAUAAUAAAAACUACAAUCUAUAUAAACUAUGUUUUUAUUAAUUUCUAAAUCAAAUUACCAAAAAUUAUUUAUAGAGCUAGAAAAAAUAAUUAUAAAAUUAGUCUCAAAGAACAAAAAAAUCAAAAAUAUCAAGAGAAUGAAUUUUUUAAAAUGUGAAGAAAGGUAGCCUAGUGAUACCAGAUCUCAAACUGUAUUACAAAGUGGUAAUCACCAAAAUAACCUGGUACUGGUUAAAAAAUAGAAUGGUGGAUCAAUGGAAAAGACUAGGUAAAAAAUACAUGUAGCAAAUGACUACAGUAAAUCUAAUGUUUGAUAAAUGUAGUGACCCAAGCUUUUGAGAUAAGAACUCACUAUUUAAUAAAAACUGCUAGAAAAACUGGAAGGCAAUUUGGCAGAUAUUAGAAACAGACCAACAUCUCAUACUGCUUACCAAGAACUGGUACAUGAUUUAGACAUAAAGGAUGUCAUAAGCAAAUUAGGGGAGCACAGAAUAAUUUAUCUGUUGGAUCUUUGGAUAAGAAGAAUUUAUGAUGUAACAAGACAGAGUAUUACAGGAAGUAAAACUGAUAAUUUUGCUUAUAUUGAAUUAAAAAUUUUUUGUACAAAUUAAUAUAGCCAAGAUUAGUAGAAAGGCAGAAAACUGGAGAAAUGAUUUAUAGCAAGAUUCUCUGAUAAAGACUUAAUUUCUCAACUAUAGAGAGAAAUGAGUCAAAUCAUAAGAAUACAAGGCAUUCUCCAAUUGAUAAUAGACCAAAGGAAGUGAACAGACAAUUUUCAAACAAAUAAAUUAAAGCCAUCUAUGGUCAUGAAAAAUAAAUGCUCUAAAUCACUAUUGCUUAGAGAAAUUCAAAUAUAAAACUCUGGGGUACCAUCUCAUACCUAGCAGAUUGGCUACUAUAACAGAAAAUGAAAACAAAAAUAUUUUGAAGAUAUAGGAAAACUGGGAGACAUUCACUGUUGGUGGAAUUGUGAAUUGACCUAACCAUUUUGGAGAACAAUUUGAAAUUAUACCUAAUAUGUGCAUAUCUUUGACCCAACAAUACUACUACUAACUAGGCUUGUAUCUAAAGAGAUUUAUAUAUAUAUAUAUAUAUAUAUAUAUAUAUAUAUAUAUAUAUAUGUGAAAAAGGAUUUAUAUGUAUAAAAAUAUUUAUAGAAAUUCUUUUUGUAGUGGCAAAGAAUUGGAAAUUGAGGGUAUGCCCAUCAAUUGGAGAAUGAACAAGUUAUAGCAUACUAUUGUGCUGUAAGAAAUAAUGGGCAGAUUUGUUUCAGAAAAGCCUGGAAAGACUUUUAUGAACUGCAAUUUAUAUGAUGCAAAGUGAAAUGAGCAGAACAAGGAGAAUAUUAUACCCAGUAGCAGCAAUUUGUACAAUGAUUAGCUGUGAAUGAUUUAGCGAUUCUCAGCAAUAGGAUCCAAAAUAAUUCUCAAGGCUUUUCAAAGAAAAAUGUCAUACACCUUUAGUGAAAGAACUGACAGUCUGAAUGCAGAUCAAAACAUAUUGUAAAAAAAAAACGACUUUUUUUCACUUUUUUCCACUUUCUUUUGCAACAUGGCUAAUGUACAAAUAUAUUUUGCAUGAUUGCAUAUGUAUAUCAAAUUGUGUCUGAUUUCUCAAAGAGGGGGAGAAAUGGCAGGAGAGAGAGAAUUUGGAACUCAAUAUUUAGAAAAAAAAAGAAAUGUUAAAAAUUGUCUUUACAUAGAAUUGGGGAAAAAACAAAAAAUAAGUUAAAUUAAGCCAAGUUUGAAAUAAAACCCCUUCCUUAAAGGCCAUUAUUCUUUUGGUGGUAUUUUGUCGAUAUAUUUCAUAGAUUAUAGUCUCAAAAGAAUCUAACUAGAGAUUUCUAUCUAAAUCAUUUCUCACUUGAUUGCACUACUUUGGGACUUUUCUGACUUCUCCACUCCCCCCUCCUGCACAAACCUCAUCAUCCUUCAAAAUCCCCUCUAUCUUGAGAGUCUAUCUUAUCACCACCAUUUCUCCCUCUGAUUGGAGGGUACAGUCAUGAAUUCUAAAAUCUCCAUCUAAGGAGGGACCUCACCUCUGAAUAUCUUAAUAUACAUGGCUGGCCUACUUUGGGACUACUUUGCUUUUCCACUAAGUUCUCCAAUACUUUCCUUUUCAGCUUCCUUUUGUUUUCCUUAUUCAAUUAUAAGCUCCCUUGGAAAAAACUUUAUUUAAAAAAAUUUUUUUUUAUUUGUAAACUUAAGUGCUUAUCAUAGCACCUGGCACUUAGUAGGCACUUAAUAGAAGCUUAUUGACUGACUGAGAUAGUGCUGGAUUUAACAUUAAAUUAAAAUUAAUUUAAUUUAGUAUUUUAAUAUUAAAAGCUGUGUAUAACUAAAGUUCAUGGUUUCAUAUGCUCAAAGACUCAAAUAAAUCCAAGAUCUUAUCAAUUUGGGAGUUUUUCUCCUAUAAUGAAGAGCCUAAUUCUUACAUCCCUUAUCUUCUGGAGGGAUUGUUUUUGCCAUGCCCUCCCAUAAUUUUGCUGCAAGGAGUCCAUCCAAUGUGCUGAAGGCCUUCCUUAUUUUGUCCUGACAUUGUGAAGGGACUAGGGGAGUGCUCAAGUUAUCCACCUGUCUCCCUAGACCUAGUCACAAGAAUAGCCCCUCUUCUCUUUCCAAUGUAUGUGUUUUUGAUGAAAUCCUUCGGUCCUGUCCUUGGAAAUUUCUCAUUGGUCAUAUGUGGCAGCCUAUAACACUGCUCACCAUCACUUUGUUCCCUGUGAUUUAAAAAAUUCCCCCAGGACUACUGUAUUCCAUAUUUCUUUAUAACAGAAGCCAACCGUUUUAUAUCCACACACAAUCUUCAUUUUUAUUCUCCUUUAUGAGUUGAAAUAGUUGUUGUUGAUUUUAAAUUGAUAAUAAAUAUAUAACUUACAAUGAAUUUCUUUGUGACAUUUUAAAAAUUCAAUUGUCAUCAACAAAUAUUUCAAUAUGCAGAAAACAAAAAAAGGAAUUUGUUUGAAAUCAAACUUUUAAAAGUGUAUCUAGUAACAAAAGUGUCCUAACCUUGAAACACAUUUUUGCUUCUUUUUUGUAUGUUUAAAUGUUUUGUCUCCUUUCCCUUUUUGCAAUUUUUAAUUUUUAAGAAUUUCAAUAUUUCCCACCAGUUACAUUCAAACUUUUUUUACAUUUUUAAAAUUUUUGAAUUCUAGGUUCUCUCCCUUAUCCCCCUCCCACAAUUAAGAAACUACAAGUGAAGUUAUGCAAAACAUUUCCUUCAAAGUCAAGUUGUGAAAGAAAACACAGCUCUCCCAUCCUGAUGAAAAUAAAAACCCUCAAGAAAAAUAAAGUUUAAAAAAAAGAGAAAGAAAAUGCUUCAGUCUGUAUUCAGACCCCAUCAGUUCCUCUCUGGGUAUGGAUAGGAUUUUUCAUCAUCAAGUCCUUUAGAGUUGUCAGGGGAUGAUUGCACUACUGUCUCUGCAUUUGUAUAAUUACUCACUAACCCUCUCUCCCUCUAACACGUGGUUGGGGGUGGUCACUGGUUUUCAGUCCUGCUCGACUCUUGGCAAAGAUACUGGAGUGGUGUGCCAUUUCUUCUCCUACCCAUUUCACAGACGAGGAAACUGAGGCAAACACAGCGAUGUGACAUGCGCAAGGUCUAAGUUGGCGUGUAAGGCUGGACUUGAACUCAGGUCCUCUGGACCCCAGGAUCAGGGUUCUAUCCACUGUACCACCCAGCUGCCCUAAGAAGCAGAUGGAGCCCAACUAUACACAUUGAUCACAUCGGAACGUUUGCGUCUCCUUCAGGAUCUCUGGUUCAUUGCCCUCUGCCAAGAAGGGGUCAUCCAAGUACUUGCCGAGUUGUCCGAGACCAUGAUUGGACACCUGUGUCCGGCUGUGUUCCAAUGUACUUCAAAGGUGUUUUCCUUUGUGAAGGGGUCACGGUGUCAGUGAUGUUUCUGGUUCCACUCACUUCCCUCUGCCCAAGAUCUCCGCUGGAGAAGCCACCGCUGGGCUCAGGGGGCUGGGCCCGCUCCCCGCUGGCGCCUGGGAUUGGUCCUGGAGCCCAGCCUCCCACGCACAGGCCCCCGCCCCCUGAGGCUCUGCGAACGUGCUUCUAAACUAUUUUGACGGACAUUCCAAUACACCCGUUCGAAGUCCCCCGUCAUUUCCUUUUGUGAAUAUGAAGCUUGGCCUUGAGAAGGGCUGGCUGCCAGAGGGCCCAGGACACAGUAAGAACUCUCUAAUGAGAAGGGCGGUCGUGUCCCCGUACUUUUUAGCUCAGUAAAUCCCCGCCUUGGGGCAGUAGAGAGGAAGCUGCUGCGGCGGGGCGGGAAAAAGCCCAGGGACCUUUCAGGGUGUGCCGAGUCCCAACAAAACAUGCGCCUUUCCAGGCCGACGACGACGCACAGAGUCCUCCGUGUCAAGUCGCCGUUUCUGUGGGCCGGCACUCGGUUCCGCUCUUAGGCCACGCUCCGUACGGCCGCGCCACAACGCCGCGGGCCGCCUCACUCCCAGAGGCCUCUGUGCCACAGUAACAAGAUGCUGUGUUUUUGCGCGCUUUAGGCCUUUUAUUUCCGACUCUGCUCUUGGGGCCCGGGCCCGGUCAGAAGGCGUGUGCGCGGUUCAGUGCCUUUGGAGGCGCACGGGGCUCAGAAGGCGGGCCAGCGCCCGACUCCCCCGACAGCCUAAGGCGGCUGCCUCUCCCCGGCCCCCAUCGCUUGCCGCCCCCCACGCUGCCUUUGCCAUCCGUUCGGGCGUGCGCCGGGGCCUCGGCAUUAUCGCGCACGCUUCUCUCGUUAGAGGUUCCGAAGUUCUUUCCUGCCAUCGUUUGAAGACCGCCUGACCGCACCGGCGGUCGGGGGGUGCGUGUCAGUUCUCCCUGCUUGCGGGCGCAGGACUUCUACCAGAGCCGUUGGCUGCAAAGGGUUUUCCUUCUCCCCUCCUCCCCGCCGCCCGCUUCUCUGCACGGAUUCUGCAGAACAUUCCCGAGGGCAAGAAGCAGUGAGGGGGCGUUAAGGGCCGGCUCCUCAUGGCGGACGUUGGAGGGAGCCGGGCAGCGAGGGAUGAGAGCGUGCCAGGGAGGAGCGCCUCGCCCAGGCGGGGAGCCGGCCCAAAGCGGGCCGUCCCCGGGCCGCGGCAGGCUUCAAACGCAGAGCGUCUAACCCCGGGCUGGCCGGGUGCGGGCGGCGCGCGGGGCCCUGGGAUAACCCGCGUGUAACGGAAGCAGCUGCACAGCCUUACACAGUGCCCUCUUACCCCGGCGGGGGGGGGGGGGGGGGGGGGGGGGGGGGGCGGGGCUGCAGCUGACACGGAGCGGACUUGCCCAGGGCCACUCAGCCGGCGGGGAAGUAGCCCUCGGACCCGCGCUUCUAGGCUCCGGGCCCGGGAGUGUGGCCGAGGGCUCCGCGGGGACGCGACCGGACAGGCCGCGGACACUCGGGGGCUGCGUUCGCUUUCCGAGGCCCCCCAAGUGGCGGAGGAAGCAGCGGGGCCUCCGCGGCGGCGGGCCGUUUUCCCCGGCAAGGAGCAAGUCCAGGGGCAGGAAAGGACGCAAUGACAAAGUCACUUUAAAUAAAGCGGUUUCCAAAGUCUUACCGGAUUGUCCGAGCCCGGGCACGGCAGGUGGCUGGCGGGGCCGGGAGCGGGGGCCGCUGAGCCUAGUGGGAGCCGGGGGGCGGGGCACCCACGGCGGGGGGGCGGCCCUGCACGCGCGACUGACAGCCCGGUGAGUGGCGGGGCGCGGAGAGGGGGAGGAGGGGUCACGCUCUCGGGCUCUCCACGGGCGACCCGGUUGGGGGGCUGGGUCCCACCGGGACGGGGUGGGAGGGGAACAGCACUGUGGUUGGGACACGGUCGGAUGUGCGGCCCGGGCGGGGGGAGGGAAACCCGCGGAGCGCUGAGUGUUGGCAGACUAGGAACAACUGGGGGCGACCUGCGGGGGCCCUGGAGCACCGGAGUGAAUCGGGGUGGGAGGGACCCGGAAGGUCCCGGCACACUGGGGAGGACUGAUCCCCCCUCCCCCGCUGCCCUGCAGCAUUGGGGAGUCUGGGGUCCGCGGGGCCGCGCAGCCUCGGGGGAGUUUGGGGCAGGGGGUUUGGGAGGGGUCCGCGGAGCUGCAACAUUGGGGGAGAGGUCCGCGGGGCGGCGCAGCCUCGGGGGAAAUUGGGGCAGGGCGUUCGUGAGGGGCUUAGCUUGGGGGUGAAGGGUCGAUCUACGGGCUCCCGCCGGGCUUAAGCCUGGAGCACCCGCGCG
This 13361-nucleotide long non-coding RNA is filed under the name Sarcophilus harrisii (Tasmanian devil). Its description in RNAcentral is "lncRNA (ENSSHAG00000028459.1)". Lineage: Eukaryota; Metazoa; Chordata; Mammalia; Dasyuromorphia; Dasyuridae. The record is from RNAcentral.